RNAcentral lists this long non-coding RNA (221 nucleotides) under Lathyrus oleraceus (garden pea). Its description in RNAcentral is "Pisum sativum (pea) long non-coding RNA (PSAT_LNC008018)". Lineage: Eukaryota; Viridiplantae; Streptophyta; Magnoliopsida; Fabales; Fabaceae. The record is from RNAcentral.
UAAAGUCCAGUUCUUUUAGUGUUAUGUAUGAGCGAUUAUUUAUAGUUUCUAAGUAGAGGUCUCAGGCGGUGGGAGGGAUGGGUGGUUGGGUGGAAGGUCUUUGAGUUUGUAAUUUUAUGUUAUGGUGUUCCCUCUUGGUUUAGGGGAAUAGCUCCUUCUAGAGCUUAUAAGGCGGGUGGAUUUAACGGUUAAAUAAGGUCAGGUGGAUACUUGGGUUUGGA